This 650-nucleotide long non-coding RNA is filed under the name Ananas comosus (pineapple). RNAcentral's name for it is "long non-coding RNA (ACOM_LNC011530)". Lineage: Eukaryota; Viridiplantae; Streptophyta; Magnoliopsida; Poales; Bromeliaceae. The record is from RNAcentral.
AAGUUUUAAAUUUGAGAAACGAUCAGCUUGAAGGGUCGAUCCCUCGUGCUCUAUGCAACCUUAGUAUGCUCUACAUACUUGAUCUCUCUGGAAAUUACUUCGCCCGUAACAUUCCUGUAGAGCUAGGAAGGCUUAACGGAAUUAUCCUAACACCUGCCUCUUCACACAUUCUAUCUACCUGUUAAUAACUAUUCUUUGAUGUGGGAAGGUCUCAAUCUGCGUAAUAUGAUUGCGCGUUGGAUGGAUCUAACUGAUACUAUUGUGAAGUGGAAGGGCUCCCUUCGAAGAUUAGAACAAAAGAACCUCGAUAUCUAUGCCUACUUAGAUUCAUCCAACAACCAAUUGUCCGGAAAAAUACCCGCAGCUUUAGAUGAUCUCCAAUAUCUGAAAUUGUUCAAUCUUUCGUAUAAUAAGCUCGAAGGAGAGAUCCCUGCAAGCUUUGGAAGGUUAAUAAAGCAGGAGAGUUUGGAUUUGUCACAUAACAGGCUCAAUGGUAGCAUACCUGAAGCAUUUGUCAAUCUCAACGAAUUGGCUACACUUGAUGUGAGUAACAACGAGCUCACGGGUCAGAUUCCCAUAGGCCGCCAGAUGUCCACGAUGGCAAACUCAAGCUCUUAUGCUAAUAACAGUGGCUUGUGCGGCUUCGAGAU